Molecule: ribosomal RNA, 424 nt
Filed under: uncultured bacterium
Lineage: Bacteria
Description: bacterial SSU rRNA
Rfam family: Bacterial small subunit ribosomal RNA
Source: RNAcentral
UGGGGAAUAUUGGACAAUGGGCGAAAGCCUGAUCCAGCCAUGCCGCGUGAAUGAUGAAGGCCUUAGGGUUGUAAAGUUCUUUUGUCAGGGAAGAUAAUGACGGUACCUGAAGAAUAAGCACCGGCUAACUUCGUGCCAGCAGCCGCGGUAAUACGAAGGGUGCUAGCGUUGUUCGGAAUUACUGGGCGUAAAGAGCGCGUAGGCGGUUAUACAAGUCAGGGGUGAAAUCCCGGAGCUUAACUCCGGAACUGCCUUUGAAACUGUAUAGCUGGAGUGUGUGAGGGGAUAGCGGAAUUCUUAAUGUAGAGGUGAAAUUCGUAGAUAUUAAGAGGAACACCGGUGGCGAAGGCGGCUAUCUGGCACACAACUGACGCUGAGGCGCGAAAGCGUGGGGAUCAAACAGGAUUAGAUACCCCCGUAGUCC